This 85-nucleotide transfer RNA is filed under the name Felis catus (domestic cat). It matches the Rfam family "tRNA". From Rfam's summary of the family: Transfer RNA (tRNA) molecules are approximately 80 nucleotides in length. Their secondary structure includes four short double-helical elements and three loops (D, anti-codon, and T loops). The record is from Rfam by way of RNAcentral. Lineage: Eukaryota; Metazoa; Chordata; Mammalia; Carnivora; Felidae.
ACCUGAAUGGCUCAGUGGGUUGAGUGCCUGACUUUGGCUCAGGUCAUGAUCUCGUGGUUUGUGGGUUCAAGCCCUGCAUCAGGCU